Molecule: ribosomal RNA, 771 nt
Filed under: uncultured bacterium
Lineage: Bacteria
Description: bacterial SSU rRNA
Rfam family: Bacterial small subunit ribosomal RNA
Source: RNAcentral
GGGAACUGCGUUNUGAACUGGGUGACUAGAGUGUGUCAGAGGGAGGUAGAAUUNCACGUGUAGCAGUGAAAUGCGUAGAGAUGUGGAGGAAUACCGAUGGCGAAGGCAGCCUCCUGGGAUAACACUGACGUUCAUGCCNGAAAGCGUGGGUAGCAAACAGGAUUAGAUACCCUGGUAGUCCACGCCCUAAACGAUGUCGAUUAGCUGUUGGGCAGCAUGACUGCUUAGUAGCGAAGCUAACGCGUGAAAUCGACCGCCUGGGGAGUACGGUCGCAAGAUUAAAACUCAAAGGAAUUGACGGGGACCCGCACAAGCGGUGGAUGAUGUGGAUUAAUUCGAUGCAACGCGAAGAACCUUACCUGGUCUUGACAUGUACGGAACCCUCCAGAGACGGAGGAGUGCCUUCGGGAGCCGUAACACAGGUGCUGCAUGGCUGUCGUCAGCUCGUGUCGUGAGAUGUUGGGUUAAGUCCCGCAACGAGCGCAACCCUUGUCAUUAGUUGCCAUCAUUAAGUUGGGCACUCUAAUGAGACUGCCGGUGACAAGCCGGAGGAAGGUGGGGAUGACGUCAAGUCCUCAUGGCCCUUAUGACCAGGGCUUCACACGUCAUACAAUGGUCGGUACAGAGGGUAGCCAAGCCGCGAGGCGGAGCCAAUCUCACAAAACCGAUCGUAGUCCGGAUUGCACUCUGCAACUCGAGUGCAUGAAGUCGGAAUCGCUAGUAAUCGCAGGUCAGCAUACUGCGGUGAAUACGUUCCCGGGUCUUGUACAC